Molecule: long non-coding RNA, 334 nt
Organism: Ochotona princeps (American pika)
Lineage: Eukaryota; Metazoa; Chordata; Mammalia; Lagomorpha; Ochotonidae
Exons: 3
Source: RefSeq, a predicted model, not a curated record
GGAAGAGGUGUGGCUAGAGACUGAAGACUGGAGAGGUUCCUGUGCUGUGGAGCGGAGAGCAGCCCACACCAAGGGUGACCUGUGGAACAGGAUGGCCGUCUCCGGGAGGGACCCGACAGGAGGUAGAAGUUUACCUUCAGAAGAACAAGUGUGAGGCCAGGCUUUUGCUUAUUGGCAAUGGAAAUGUCCUUUACUGUCUGAGCACCCAGACAGCACAUAAGGAAGCAGCCUACCUUGCAGACAUUGGUUAAAUACUAAUCUUCUGCCUUCUGUUCAUAUAUUUAAUACAACCCAAUCAGGUUUAACUGGGCCAAGGUUUUCUCCUGUCAUUGUA